RNAcentral lists this ribosomal RNA (656 nucleotides) under uncultured bacterium. Its description in RNAcentral is "partial 16S ribosomal RNA". It matches the Rfam family "Bacterial small subunit ribosomal RNA", at positions 529 to 1207 of the family's 1533-position model. The record is from RNAcentral.
AAGGUGCGAGCGUUAAUCGGAAUUAUUGGGCGUAAAGGGCACGUAGGUGGUUGAAUAAGUUAGGUGUAAAAUUCCCGGGCUUAACCCGGGGUGGUCGCCUGAUACUGUUUAACUAGAGUAGGGAAGANGGAAGUGGAAUUCUCGGUGUAGCGGUGAAAUGCGUANAUAUCGGGAGGAACACCAGUGGCGAAGGCGGCUUCCUGGUCCACUACUGACACUCAAGUGCGANAGCGUGGGGAGCAAACAGGAUUAGAUACCCUGGUAGUCCACGCUGUNAACGAUGAAAACUAGACGUUGGGGGGCUUGUCCCCUUUGUGUCUUAGCUAACGCGAUAAGUUUUCCGCCUGGGGANUACGGCCGCAANGUUNAAACUCAAANGAAUUGAACGGGGGCCCNCCCAAACCGUGGAACAUGUUGUUUAAUUCNAUGCCACNCGAAAAACCUUACUACCCUUGACUACUUGGAAUCUGCUGGAAACACCGANUCCCAAAGGAACAAAAACAGUNCUGCAUGCUGUCUCACCNCCUUUCUUNAAAAUUNGGUUAAUCCCUUAACAACNCACCCUUUUCUUAUUUUCCNCCCUCUUGGCGGAACUAUAAGAACUUUCGUAAACCGGAAANAAAGUUGGGANAAAUCCAUUCUCCUGGCCNUUUUGG